ACACAUGNCAGUCGUGCGGAUGNCUUCAGGGAGCUUGCUCCUUGAAGUGUUAGCGGCGGAUGGGUGAGUAACACGUGGGCAACCUGCCCUACAGAUGGGGAUAACUCCGGGAAACCGGGGCUAAUACCGAAUAAACAGUUUGUCCGCAUGGACAAACUCUGAAAGACGGUUUCGGCUGUCACUGUAGGAUGGGCCCGCGGCGCAUUAGCUAGUUGGUGGGAUAACGGCCUACCAAGGCAACGAUGCGUAGCCGACCUGAGAGGGUGAUCGGCCACACUGGGACUGAGACACGGCCCAGACUCCUACGGGAGGCAGCAGUAGGGAAUCUUCCACAAUGGACGAAAGUCUGAUGGAGCAAUGCCGCGUGAGUGAAGAAGGUUUUCGGAUCGUAAAGCUCUGUUGUAAGGGAAGAACAAGUAUGGGAGUAACUGCCCGUACCUUGACGGUACCUUAUUAGAAAGCCACGGCUAACUACGUGCCAGCAGCCGCGGUAAUACGUAGGUGGCAAGCGUUGUCCGGAAUUAUUGGGCGUAAAGCGCGCGCAGGCGGCCUUUUAAGUCUGAUGUGAAAGCCCCCGGCUCAACCGGGGAAGGUCAUUGGAAACUGAAGGGCUUGAGUACAGAAGAGGAAAGCGGAAUUCCACGUGUAGCGGUGAAAUGCGUAGAGAUGUGGAGGAACACCAGUGGCGAA
This 690-nucleotide ribosomal RNA is filed under the name unidentified microorganism. RNAcentral describes it as "bacterial SSU rRNA". It matches the Rfam family "Bacterial small subunit ribosomal RNA", at positions 51 to 719 of the family's 1533-position model. The record is from RNAcentral.